UAGUCACGUGAGGUGAAGUGUG
RNAcentral lists this microRNA (22 nucleotides) under Ornithorhynchus anatinus (platypus). Its description in RNAcentral is "oan-miR-1421j-5p". The record is from miRBase by way of RNAcentral. Lineage: Eukaryota; Metazoa; Chordata; Mammalia; Monotremata; Ornithorhynchidae.